This 253-nucleotide ribosomal RNA is filed under the name uncultured bacterium. Its description in RNAcentral is "partial 16S ribosomal RNA". It matches the Rfam family "Bacterial small subunit ribosomal RNA", at positions 524 to 776 of the family's 1533-position model. The record is from RNAcentral.
UACAGAGGGGGCAAGCGUUAUUCGGAAUUAUUGGGCGUAAAGGGCGCGUAGGCGGCUUGGCAAGUGGAAGGUGAAAUCCCUCGGCUUAACCGAGGAACUGCCCUCCAAACUGCUUAGCUUGAGACCGGGAGAGGUGAGUGGAAUUCCCAGUGUAGCGGUGAAAUGCGUAGAUAUUGGGAGGAACACCAGUGGCGAAGGCGGCUCACUGGACCGGUACUGACGCUGAGACGCGAAAGCGUGGGGAGCGAACAGG